This 460-nucleotide ribosomal RNA is filed under the name uncultured bacterium. RNAcentral's name for it is "partial 16S ribosomal RNA". It matches the Rfam family "Bacterial small subunit ribosomal RNA", at positions 338 to 795 of the family's 1533-position model. The record is from RNAcentral.
CCUACGGGGGGCAGCAGUGAGGAAUAUUGGUCAAUGGCCGGAAGGCUGAACCAGCCAUGCCGCGUGAAGGUCAGUGCCCUAUGGGCGUUAAACUUCUUUUGUGCGGGAGCAAUAAUGGUCACGUGUGGCCAGACGAGAGUACCGUACGAAUAAGCAUCGGCUAACUCCGUGCCAGCAGCCGCGGUAAUACGGGGGAUGCAGGCGUUUUCCGGAUUUAUUGGGUUUAAAGGGUGCGUAGGCGGGGAGGUAAGUUAGCGGGGAAAUGCCCCCGCUCAACGGGGUGAAGUGCCAUUGAUACUGGCUUGCUGGAAUGCGGAUGCCGUGGGAGGAAUGUGUGGUGUAGCGGUGAAAUGCAUAGAUAUCACACAGAACACCGAUUGCGAAGGCAUCUCACGAAUCCGCGAUUGACGCUGAUGCACGAAAGCGUGGGUAUCAAACAGGAUUAGAUACCCCUGUAGUC